AGUAAAGUCAGCUAAAAAAGCUUUCGGGCCCAUACCCCGAAAAUGUUGGUUGCCCAACCUUUACUA
This 66-nucleotide transfer RNA is filed under the name Anilios australis (Southern blind snake). RNAcentral describes it as "transfer RNA-Met". The record is from RNAcentral. Lineage: Eukaryota; Metazoa; Chordata; Lepidosauria; Squamata; Typhlopidae.